This 450-nucleotide ribosomal RNA is filed under the name uncultured bacterium. Its description in RNAcentral is "bacterial SSU rRNA". It matches the Rfam family "Bacterial small subunit ribosomal RNA", at positions 57 to 518 of the family's 1533-position model. The record is from RNAcentral.
GCAAGUCGAACGGAGGUCAUGAUUCGGUUGAUGAUCUAGUGGCGGACGGGUGAGUAACGCGUGAGCAACCUGCCCUGUGAGUGGAAUAACAAACUGGAAACGGGUGCUAAUACCGCAUAACGUACCGGGUAAGCAUUUACCUGAUACCAAAGGAGAAAUCCGCACAAGGAUGGGCUCGCGUCCGAUUAGUCUGUUGGUGAGGUAACGGCUCACCAAAACUGCGAUCGGUAGCCGGACUGAGAGGUUGAACGGCCACAUGGAACUGAGAGACGGUCCAGACUCCUACGGGAGGCAGCAGUAGGGAAUAUUGGGCAAUGGGCGGAAGCCUGAACCCCCAGCAACGCCGCGUGAAGGAAGAAGGUCUUCGGAUUGUAAACUUUAGUAAGCAGGGAAGAAGAAGAUGACGGUACCUGCAGAGUAAGCCACGGCUAACUACGUGCCAGCCGCCGC